Stomoxys calcitrans (stable fly) is the source of this 416-nucleotide long non-coding RNA. RefSeq lists it as uncharacterized. The record is from RefSeq and is a predicted model, not a curated record. The transcript has 2 exons. Lineage: Eukaryota; Metazoa; Arthropoda; Insecta; Diptera; Muscidae.
UAAUUAAGUAUACCCUCAAAACACGCAAACAUAACUUUGACAGUCGUUGUAUGCAAUGCUACAUAGUUUAUGAGCGCACCAAUAAGCAUCUGCAGUUUCUCGUCCACGGGAACAAUCAUAAAAGUAAGUCAACAUCGACACUAGCUUGCUUUAAUUGUGCUGUGAAUUGCGGAAGAAAACGCUAAAAUAUUCAUAGUUUCAAUUUCAGAUUGUCGCUUGCAAAGUGCACGCUAAGGCCUUUUGAUUCACAAUACAUCAGUUCCAAUGGUUUAGACUAAGUGGGAUUUGGUUGAAUGCAGUUAUAAUAAUAUGUUGGAUAAGUUUAGAUAUUUUGAUAACAAAAACCUUUGUAGAUUCUUUAGUCUAAGAUGUAGCAAAAUAUUGUAAUAAAAAUGUGAAUGUAAGCAAAAAAUGUA